ACGUAGGGAGCAAGCGUUGUCCGGAUUUACUGGGUGUAAAGGGUGCGUAGGCGGCUUUGCAAGUCAGAUGUGAAAUCUAUGGGCUCAACCCAUAAACUGCAUUUGAAACUGUAGAGCUUGAGUGAAGUAGAGGCAGGCGGAAUUCCCCGUGUAGCGGUGAAAUGCGUAGAGAUGGGGAGGAACACCAGUGGCGAAGGCGGCCUGCUGGGCUUUGACUGACGCUGAGGCACGAAAGCGUGGGUAGCAAACAG
Molecule: ribosomal RNA, 251 nt
Filed under: uncultured bacterium
Lineage: Bacteria
Description: partial 16S ribosomal RNA
Rfam family: Bacterial small subunit ribosomal RNA
Source: RNAcentral